AUGGCUACCGCCGCCGCCGUCGUGGAUGCUGCCAUCUCGAAACCGCGGGACACGGAGCGCCGCCCCCGCCCCCGCUUCCGCAGGCUCAAGAAGAACAGGGCCGCGGGCGCCAAUGCGGCUGUUAGCGAGGGCACCAGGGAGAACGCCGGUCCCGACCCCCACCUCCAGGUGGAGGUGGAGUACGUGCCGGAGAAGGCCGACCUCGACGUCGACGAACCCCUCCUCGGCGUCUUCACGGCCAUCUUCGAGAAAUUCAGCUUCACGGCCGCCGCCGCCGCCAAGGGCGAGGGGAACGAGAAGGAAGCAUCUAAUGAUGCCGCAAAGAAGAAGGGGUCCGAUGUUGAUUAUCAUGAGCAGGAUGCCCCAAAAAAGAAGCAGCUGCAGAGGAUGAAGAUUGCAGAGUUGAAGCAGAUAUGCAACAAGCCUGAUGUUGUUGAGGUCUGGGAUGCUACUGCCGUUGAUCCCAAAUUGCUCGUAUAUCUCAAGUCCUACAGGAAUACUGUGCCUGUUCCAAGACACUGGUCCCAGAAACGGAAGUUCUUGCAGGGACUGCUGUAA
This 558-nucleotide ribosomal RNA is filed under the name Triticum aestivum (bread wheat). Its description in RNAcentral is "partial small subunit ribosomal RNA". The record is from RNAcentral. Lineage: Eukaryota; Viridiplantae; Streptophyta; Magnoliopsida; Poales; Poaceae.